This 428-nucleotide ribosomal RNA is filed under the name uncultured bacterium. RNAcentral's name for it is "partial 16S ribosomal RNA". It matches the Rfam family "Bacterial small subunit ribosomal RNA", at positions 354 to 796 of the family's 1533-position model. The record is from RNAcentral.
GUAGGGAAUAUUGCGCAAUGGACGAAAGUCUGACGCAGCGACGCCGCGUGAGUGAUGAAGGCCUUAGGGUCGUAAAGCUCUGUUGAAUGGGAAGAAAAAAAUGACGGUACCAUUCGAGGAAGGACCGGCUAACUUCGUGCCAGCAGCCGCGGUAAUACGAGGGGUCCUAGCGUUGUUCGGAAUCAUUGGGCGUAAAGGGUGUGUAGGUGGCCAUGUAAGUCAGGUGUGAAAGCCCCGGGCUCAACCCGGGAAGUGCACUUGAUACUGCGUGGCUUGAGUACCGAAGAGGGUAGUGGAAGUCCAGGUGUAGUGGUGAAAUACGUAGAUAUCUGGAGGAACACCGGUGGCGAAGGCGGCUACCUGGUCGAGUACUGACACUGAGACACGAAAGCAUGGGGAUCAAACAGGAUUAGAUACCCCGGUAGUCC